This is a small nuclear RNA of Tripterygium wilfordii, 195 nucleotides long. RefSeq annotates it as U2 spliceosomal RNA. The record is from RefSeq and is a predicted model, not a curated record. The transcript has a single exon. Lineage: Eukaryota; Viridiplantae; Streptophyta; Magnoliopsida; Celastrales; Celastraceae.
AUACCUUUCUCGGCCUUUUGGCUAAGAUCAAGUGUAGUAUCUGUUCUUAUCAGUUUAAUAUCUGAUACGUGGGUCAUCGACCCACAUGAUAUUAAAUAAAUUUUUUAAAGGGGAAGGCCUAACGCAGUAGCUUGCUACUGGGGCCUUCGCGCGUCGCCUAAACGUUGCACUACAGUUUGGGCUGGCACACCCCUC